RNAcentral lists this transfer RNA (69 nucleotides) under Culicoides wadai. RNAcentral's name for it is "tRNA-Met". It matches the Rfam family "tRNA". From Rfam's summary of the family: Transfer RNA (tRNA) molecules are approximately 80 nucleotides in length. Their secondary structure includes four short double-helical elements and three loops (D, anti-codon, and T loops). Further hydrogen bonds mediate the characteristic L-shaped molecular structure. tRNAs have two regions of fundamental functional importance: the anti-codon, which is responsible for specific mRNA codon recognition, and the 3' end, to which the tRNAs corresponding amino acid is attached (by aminoacyl-tRNA synthetases). tRNAs cope with the degeneracy of the genetic code in two manners: having more than one tRNA (with a specific anti-codon) for a particular amino acid; and 'wobble' base-pairing, i.e. permitting non-standard base-pairing at the 3rd anti-codon position. Lineage: Eukaryota; Metazoa; Arthropoda; Insecta; Diptera; Ceratopogonidae. The record is from RNAcentral.
AUAAAGGUAAGCUAAUAAAGCUAUUGGGUUCAUGCCCCACCUAUAAGGGUUUUAAUCCUUUUCUUUAUA